GCAUAUCGGGUUUCCGGGGGUGACAAUUGGAAUCAAAUGUACUGAGAAUGUUUCAUUUGUCUCCGGAACGGAAAUCGUACAUCCCUAGAAAUGUACAUGGCAUGUCCCGUAUAAAACGAGUAUUAAUUGAAGUUUAACAAAAGGAUUAAACUCCUUCGCAACACCCUCCAUGCAGACCAUGAGGCUUCAUACUGAGUGCUCUCAGCUUUCAACUUUUGUUCAUUGAGAGUCUGAGGGAAACAAUCGUCACAGACGACGUUGUGCUUCACACAGACGAUAACGCCGCCAUGGUCAACUUACUCCAGCUGCUGACCAGCGACUCCGUUGACGACGCACAGACACCAGAUGUCGUUAUUCAUAGCGACCAAGAGACCGUCUUCAUGGAGGUGUCAGGCACCGUUCUGCAGGAUGUGAAUAGGGAUCUUCAGGCUCUAAUGCAAGGCUGCAGCCAGGGCCGGUGUAAGUUUUGCACUCGUGCCAAGUGGUUCAAAGCCUGCAUCGAAGCUACCAUUCUCAAACUCGGAUUUGAGUUCAAAGUCUCUCUGAGUGGAAGAACAGAUAAGCAUUAGCAACCCACAACCUUUUUGCGUCAACAAGAUCCCCGGUCUGAGUCGCAUUGCUUACGUCUGCAUGGAGAUCUACGACGUGGAUGUGGUCAACAAAAAGCGUGCGUCAAAAUCACCUUCAGGAUCAAAAUUCUUAAAAAGAACAUCAAAAUAAAGCUCGGAUGCUUCAGGAUUCCGCACGCAACCCUACCAAAGUUUGCCAUGGUCUCUGAUAAAUUGGAAGAAGCGCUCACUUUGGACGGCUCUCCUUAAAGUUCUCAAAGGGCAUUGCAACCGUCCGUAUAACUUACUAAUUUGCAACCGUCCGUAUAACUUACAUAUCGACUACGUCAACCAUUUGUAAACGAAGAGAAACAUUAGCUUUUUAUAUGAUAUAGUAUGUUAAGACUCCUUACUAACCUUGGGUAAACCAGCAUGCAACAACACGCAUGUGUCAACAAUGAAGCAUUGGUGUGUUGUAUUUUACUUGGGUUGAAUGUCUUGUCAUAGUGCACUGAUGUUUGUCAAUAAAGUUGCUUAUUCGAGAGCAUCAAAAAGUA
This is a long non-coding RNA of Dreissena polymorpha, 1105 nucleotides long. RefSeq lists it as uncharacterized. NCBI's taxonomy places the organism in Eukaryota, Metazoa, Mollusca, Bivalvia, Myida, Dreissenidae. The record is from RefSeq and is a predicted model, not a curated record. The transcript is spliced from 3 exons.